This 487-nucleotide ribosomal RNA is filed under the name uncultured bacterium. Its description in RNAcentral is "partial 16S ribosomal RNA". It matches the Rfam family "Bacterial small subunit ribosomal RNA", at positions 30 to 507 of the family's 1533-position model. The record is from RNAcentral.
UUGAACGCUGGCGGCAUGCCUUACACAUGCAAGUCGAACGGCAGCAUGGAGAGCUUGCUCUCUGAUGGCGAGUGGCGAACGGGUGAGUAAAGCAUCGGAACGUACCGUGUAGUGGGGGAUAACGUAGCGAAAGUUACGCUAAUACCGCAUACGCACUGAGGUGGAAAGCAGGGGAUCGUAAGACCUUGCGCUAUACGAGCGGCCGAUGUCAGAUUAGCUAGUUGGUAGGGUAAAGGCCUACCAAGGCGACGAUCUGUAGCGGGUCUGAGAGGAUGAUCCGCCACACUGGGACUGAGACACGGCCCAGACUCCUACGGGAGGCAGCAGUGGGGAAUUUUGGACAAUGGGGGCAACCCUGAUCCAGCCAUGCCGCGUGAGUGAAGAAGGCCUUCGGGUUGUAAAGCUCUUUCGGCCGGGAAGAAAUCGCACAGGCUAAUACCCUGUGUGGUUGACGGUACCGGCAUAAGAAGCACCGGCUAACUACGUG